UCUCAAGUUCCUUAAUAAUCCUUCACUGAGAAGACGCUGAUUGGACUUUGUGUGAUUUGUCACUAACGUUUCUGCAUAACCAGGACUUGAAAUACCCUGGAUGCUCCUAUCCCAA
Molecule: small nucleolar RNA, 115 nt
Filed under: Fukomys damarensis (Damara mole-rat)
Lineage: Eukaryota; Metazoa; Chordata; Mammalia; Rodentia; Bathyergidae
Description: U8 small nucleolar RNA (ENSFDAG00000002432.1)
Source: RNAcentral